This 440-nucleotide ribosomal RNA is filed under the name uncultured bacterium. RNAcentral describes it as "partial 16S ribosomal RNA". It matches the Rfam family "Bacterial small subunit ribosomal RNA", at positions 338 to 795 of the family's 1533-position model. The record is from RNAcentral.
CCUACGGGCGGCUGCAGUGGGGAAUAUUGCACAAUGGGGGAAACCCUGAUGCAGCGACGCCGCGUGAGUGAAGAAGUUUUUCGGUAUGUAAAGCUCUAUCAGCAGGGAAGAAAAUGACGGUACCUGCCUAAGAAUCCCCGGCUACCUACUUUCCAGCAGCCGCGGUAAUACGUAGGGGGCAAGCGUUAUCCGGAUUUACUGGGUGUAACGGGGGCGCAGACGGCUGUGCAAGUCUGGAGUGAAAGGCGGGGGCCCAACCCCCGGACUGCUAUGGAAACUGUAAAGCUGGAGUGCAGGAGAGGUAAGCGGAAUUCCUAGUGUAGCGGUGAAAUGCGUAGAUAUUAGGAGGAACACCAGUGGCGAAGGCGGCUUACUGGACUGCAACUGACGUUGAGGCUCGAAAGCGUGGGGAGCAAACAGGAUUAGAUACCCCAGUAGUC